CAGCACCAAGGGGUGGCACGGGGCACUGUCAGCCUAAGCCAAGUGCCAUUAGCCCUUACAUAAAGAAGAAAACACAGCCUGCCCCUUUUGGCUCUCAUCCAGAAAGGCAAGCUUUCUACUCCUUCCCCAUCCUGUCAGGCCAUAAAUGGGGGUGACAGAUGAGCUGCUGAACAGACCCACCAUCUUUCAUCGGAUUUAUUGAAACUUAGCGUUGGCC
Mustela erminea (ermine) is the source of this 217-nucleotide long non-coding RNA. RefSeq lists it as uncharacterized. The record is from RefSeq and is a predicted model, not a curated record. NCBI's taxonomy places the organism in Eukaryota, Metazoa, Chordata, Mammalia, Carnivora, Mustelidae. The transcript has 3 exons.